GGACGAACGCUGGCGGCGUGCCUAAUACAUGCAAGUCGAACGAACCGCGACUAGGUGCUUGCACUUGGUCAAGGUGAGUGGCGAACGGGUGAGUAACACGUGGGUAACCUACCUCAUAGUGGGGGAUAACAGUCGGAAACGACUGCUAAUACCGCAUAGGACAUAGGAUCACAUGAUCCAGUGAGGAAAGGUGGCGCAAGCUAUCGCUAAGAGAUGGACCCGCGGUGCAUUAGCUAGUUGGUAGGGUAAAGGCCUACCAAGGCGAUGAUGCAUAGCCGACCUGAGAGGGUGAUCGGCCACAUUGGGACUGAGACACGGCCCAAACUCCUACGGGAGGCAGCAGUAGGGAAUCUUCCGCAAUGGACGCAAGUCUGACGGAGCAACGCCGCGUGAGUGAAGAAGGUCUUCGGAUCGUAAAGCUCUGUUGUUAGAGAAGAACAGCGCAUAGAGUAACUGUUAUGCGUGUGACGGUAUCUAACCAGAAAGCCACGGCUAACUACGUG
This 503-nucleotide ribosomal RNA is filed under the name uncultured bacterium. RNAcentral's name for it is "partial 16S ribosomal RNA". It matches the Rfam family "Bacterial small subunit ribosomal RNA", at positions 27 to 507 of the family's 1533-position model. The record is from RNAcentral.